RNAcentral lists this ribosomal RNA (444 nucleotides) under uncultured bacterium. RNAcentral describes it as "bacterial SSU rRNA". It matches the Rfam family "Bacterial small subunit ribosomal RNA", at positions 29 to 482 of the family's 1533-position model. The record is from RNAcentral.
AGUGAACGCUGGCGGCAGGCCUAAUACAUGCAAGUCGAACGGCAGCACAGUGGAGCUUGCUCCAUGGGUGGCGAGUGGCGGACGGGUGAGGAAUACAUGGGAAUCUGCCCAGUCGUGGGGAUAACGUAUGGAAACGUACGCUAAUACCGCAUGCGCCCUUCGGGGGAAAGUCGGGGGACCGCAAGGCCUGACGCGAUUGGAUGAGCCCAUGUUCGAUUAGCUAGUUGGCGGGUAACGGCCCACCAAGGCGACGAUCGAUAGCUGGUCUGAGAGGAUGAUCAGCCACACUGGAACUGAGACACGGUCCAGACUCCUACGGGAGGCAGCAGUAGGGAAUAUUGGACAAUGGGCGCAAGCCUGAUCCAGCCAUGCCGCGUGAGUGAAGAAGGCCCUCGGGUGUAAAGCUCUUUUGUUUGGGGAAGAAAAGCAGUUGGUAAUACCCGA